Molecule: ribosomal RNA, 670 nt
Filed under: uncultured eukaryote
Lineage: Eukaryota
Description: SSU rRNA
Rfam family: Eukaryotic small subunit ribosomal RNA
Source: RNAcentral
AUGUUGUUGCAGUUAAAAAGCUCGUAGUUGGAUUUCUGGUGGGAGUGGCCGGUCCGCCGUAAGGUGUGUACUUGGUUGUCUCCCGUCAUCCUUGUGGGAACUGCUCUGGCAUUAAGUUGUCGGGGUUAAGGAACACAUCGUUUACUGUGAAAAAAUUAAAGUGUUUAAAGCAGGCUUAUGCCGUUGAAUACAUUAUCAUGGAAUAAUAAGAUACGACUUUGGCGUCUAUUUUGUUGGUUUGCACACCAAGGUAAUGAUUAAUAAGGAUAGUUGGGGGUAUUCGUAUUUAAUUGUCAGAGGUGAAAUUCUUGGAUUUAUGAAAGACGAACUUCUGCGAAAUCAUUUACCAAAUGAUGUUUUCAUUAAUCAAGAACGAAAGUUAGGGGAUCGAAGAUGAUUAUAUACCAUCGUAGUCUUAACCAUAAACUAUGCCGACUAGGGAUUGGACGUGGUUUGUUCAUUGACCCGUUCAGCACCUUACGAGAAAUCAAAGUCUUUGGGUUCCGGGGGGAGUAUGGUCGCAAUGCUGAAACUUAGAGGAAUUGACGGAGGGGCACCACCAGGAGUGGAGCCUGCGGCUUAAUUUGACUCAACACGGGAAAACUUACCAGGUCCAGACAUAGUAAGGAUUGACAGAUUGAGAGCUCUUUCUUGAUUCUAUGGGUGGUGG